This 72-nucleotide transfer RNA is filed under the name Exophiala spinifera. RNAcentral describes it as "tRNA-Trp (CCA) (tRNA-Trp-CCA-1-1)". It matches the Rfam family "tRNA". Rfam says of the family: Transfer RNA (tRNA) molecules are approximately 80 nucleotides in length. Their secondary structure includes four short double-helical elements and three loops (D, anti-codon, and T loops). Lineage: Eukaryota; Fungi; Ascomycota; Eurotiomycetes; Chaetothyriales; Herpotrichiellaceae. The record is from RNAcentral.
GGGGGGCUGGCGCAACGGUAGCGCGUUCGACUCCAGAUCGAAAGGUUAUCUGUUCAAAUCAGGUGUCCCUCA